AUGUAUAGACCAGCCGCUUUGUCACAAGCAUGGCAGCCUGCUCAACUAUCUCCACUGCCUGCAUACAGCUGUUUCAGAACAGCGCCGACCAACCCAGAGUUUGGUUGUAGAAGAACGAAACGAAGCACACAUCAGGAAGUCAUGCUCUUUCCAACAACAACAGCAAAAGCGCAUAUAAGAGAACUUGAGGAAGAAGUGAAGCUCCUCAAGAACCUUUCGCACCCCAAUAUUGUGAGGUACCUCGGGACUGUCCGUGAGGAAGACACACUGAAUAUCCUGCUGGAGUUUGUUCCUGGAGGGUCUAUCCAGUCGCUUCUUGGAAAACUCGGUUCAUUCCCGGAGGCAGUCGUUAGGAAGUAUACUAGGCAGAUUUUGCAAGGGUUGGAAUAUCUGCAUAGCAAUGCAAUAAUACAUAGAGACAUUAAGGGUGCAAACAUUCUUGUUGAUAACAAAGGCUGCAUUAAGCUUGCCAAUUUUGGGGCAUCUAAGCGUGGUGUUCUUCCUUCAAUAAAUUGGCAGAUGCUUGCUUUUGUUAAUUAA
Molecule: ribosomal RNA, 540 nt
Filed under: Triticum aestivum (bread wheat)
Lineage: Eukaryota; Viridiplantae; Streptophyta; Magnoliopsida; Poales; Poaceae
Description: partial small subunit ribosomal RNA
Source: RNAcentral